GAUGAACACUGGCGGCGUGCCUAAUACAUGCAAGUCGAGCGAACGGACGAGAAGCUUGCUUUUCUGAUGUUAGCGGCGGACGGGUGAGUAACACGUGGAUAACCUACCUAUAAGACUGGGAUAACUUCGGGAAACCGGAGCUAAUACCGGAUAAUAUUUUGAACCGCAUGGUUCAAAAGUGAAAGACGGUCUUGCUGUCACUUAUAGAUGGAUCCGCGCUGCAUUAGCUAGUUGGUAAGGUAACGGCUUACCAAGGCAACGAUGCAUAGCCGACCUGAGAGGGUGAUCGGCCACACUGGAACUGAGACACGGUCCAGACUCCUACAGGAGGCAGCAGUAGGGAAUCUUCCGCAAUGGGCGAAAGCCUGACGGAGCAACGCCGCGUGAGUGAUGAAGGUCUUCGGAUCGUAAAACUCUGUUAUUAGGGAAGAACAUAUGUGUAAGUAACUGUGCACAUCUUGACGGUACCUAAUCAGAAAGCCACGGCUAACUACGUG
RNAcentral lists this ribosomal RNA (497 nucleotides) under uncultured bacterium. RNAcentral describes it as "partial 16S ribosomal RNA". It matches the Rfam family "Bacterial small subunit ribosomal RNA", at positions 28 to 507 of the family's 1533-position model. The record is from RNAcentral.